Long non-coding RNA from Rosa rugosa (rugosa rose), 1706 nucleotides. RefSeq lists it as uncharacterized. NCBI's taxonomy places the organism in Eukaryota, Viridiplantae, Streptophyta, Magnoliopsida, Rosales, Rosaceae. The record is from RefSeq and is a predicted model, not a curated record. The transcript is spliced from 3 exons.
UGAUGGUAAAAAGCAAAUAGCUAAAGGAUUGUUGCCGAGAGAGAGAGAGAGCAGGAGAAGCGAGUCGCAAUAGGAGCUUGAUAGCGUUGAAUUCUGGAGGGUUGGCUCAUCGAUUCUGGUUCUUGUGCCUCAAAAUCUCCAGUGAUGGCUGUCGUCUUCGUCGCAAUCAUCUCUCUCUUCUAUGGGAUUAGAAGAGAUCUCUUUUGCUCGAAGCAAGUUUUGGGUCUGGGUAGAAGUUGUGUAGGAAGGAAGGUGUUGCUGUCCCUGUCGGAGUUUGCAUAUCAAGCCGCGGCGGUCGGCGGUGUUUGUGUUUGAGCGGCCUGCGGCAUCUGGUUUUAGUGUCGGGAGUGAUUAGGAUUCUGAUUUUGGUUGGAGCGGGUUUGGGCCUUUGAUUGGGCCGGGUCUAGUGAUGGAAUUGAAUUCACUAUUAAGGCUAUGUUUGGGGGGGCUUUUUUGCUCCCCUGCUUAUAAGCACAAGAGCCAUAUCUGUUUGGUGAGCCGGCUUAUUCUCGACCAUGGAAAAAAGCUGCCCCAGCUUCUGUCUAAAAGCAGAAGCCGACUCCCCCCAGCUUUUAGAAGCCAGAAGCUCGGCACACUGUAGCGAUAAUUACUGUUCAUUAAUGAAAUUUUCAAAAUCCCGGUUUCUACCCUCCGUUGACUGAACAAAUAACAGUCAUCUGCCAUCAAACCCUCGAUCAGUCUCUCGCUCUCACUCGCUCUGCCUCUAAUCACAAACGCAUCCUCGCUCUCGCUCUCGAUCUCGAUCUCCCUCUCACAGAACCCAUCCAGGCGCCACCUCAUCCAGUCAAUCUCCCUCUCACAGAACCCUCGAUCAGUCUCUCGCAUCCAGUCGCCACCGCAUCCAGUCGAUCUCCGUCUCACAGAACCGUCGAUUAGUCUCUCGCAUCCAGUCGCCACCGCAUCCAGUCAAUCUCCGUCUCACAGAACCCUCGAUUAGUCUCUCGCAUCCAGUCUCUCGCUCUUGCUGUCGAUCUCGGCCUCACUUGCAUAAACUCAGGAUUUCAGAAGUGAAAUUGAAGCAUCAAUCAAGCAGGUUUGUUUAGAGUUGAAUGUCUACGGAUUGAGAGGAGACACCAUGCCUAGCAGGGCUGCAAAAGCUUUGGCUGCUCUGAAAUGGAAGUGAUAAGUUGACUCCAGAAGAUUUGCUACUGUCAUCCCUAACUGCUUAGGCCAUCGCGUCUUCUUAAGGAUCCUUUUGAAAUGAUUUUAAGCAUACAUCAAUGGGAUUGAUACAUUAAAUUCAUGUGACUUAAUAGCGUAACCUUAUCACUCAUGGUACCAGCUCUUAAAGUUGUAUCUGUCAUUAUAGUCUUUAACAGUCUUCAUUCAUGAGCCAAGUUUGUACUGAUGUUCCAUCCUCUGAUGUAAAGACCUGAAGUGCAUUAUCCAGUUGCUUGUUUUGUGGGCUCAUAUACACUUUAAGGAGCAAGAACUGACAGAUUUAUAUAAUCUUUGACAGGUUAGGUUUAAUGGUUGUGGGAGGCCUAAUCUUGGCAUCUUUCAUGACAUAUGCGUCGAAGCACCUUGCAAGUAAAUCAUUCUUGAGAGUUCUUGAAGACCGAGAUGCUACUAGAAGUAGGAGGUUUUGUUAGAUAUAGUUCACUGGUGACAAAACUGAGCAUGUAAAACUAUUGACCAAAAGACCAAGUAUGUCCUGUAAGCAGUGUUUGAUGCUUUUGCUGUAA